This 253-nucleotide ribosomal RNA is filed under the name uncultured bacterium. RNAcentral's name for it is "partial 16S ribosomal RNA". It matches the Rfam family "Bacterial small subunit ribosomal RNA", at positions 524 to 776 of the family's 1533-position model. The record is from RNAcentral.
UACGUAGGUGGCAAGCGUUGUCCGGAUUUACUGGGCGUAAAGCGCGCGCAGGCGGUCGUUCAAGUCGCGUGUGAAAGCCCCCGGCUCAACCUGGGAAUGGCCGUUGAAACUGGCGAACUGGAGUGUGGCAGAGGGGGGUGGAAUUCCGCGUGUAGCAGUGAAAUGCGUAGAGAUGUGGAGGAACACCAGUGGCGAAGACGGCUUUCUGGUCUGUAACUGACGCUGAGGCGCGAAAGCGUGGGGAGCAAACAGG